CUCUUUAAUAAUAAUAAAUAAAAAAACUGUUCUUGGGGAGAAGACGGAGAAGAACUUGAGAACUGUAUGAGAGUUGUUCUUCACAUACAAAAUCUCAGGUUUUUUUUUUUCUUUCUAAAUCUGAAAUUAUAGGUGGGGAGAUUAUUAGCCAUUAUUUAUUUUGUUUCAUGAGAAGAGAAAGAGAGUUUCGGCGACUGCAAAUUUGUUCGGUGAGUUGUAGCGAAGAAGACAAAAUUCGGGCAAGUAAUCCAGAUUGGAGUAAGAACUAUACAACUCGACGGUGGGUUGUUUGUGGGUGUCAGAUUAAUCGAAAAUUCUGACCUAAUCUGAAAAAUUUGGAGUUCUGAAAAGGGGGAAAUCGGAGAAAAGUAGUUCGGUUUUCAUCUCGGUGUCUCCGACGACUAGAAAAGGUAAUGAUACUUUGCCUUAUUCCGAUUGAGAUAUUUAACCAAAAUCUGGGCAAAUCUUUGUGAAGAUAGCAUAUCCCUAAUUUCAAUUUCAAAACUGGUUGGCUUUAGAAAUUGAGAAUCGACUUUCUCCCAAAAUUAAAAGUAAAUUAUGAUAUGUUGUAUAAUUUAUUUUUGUGUACGUAUGUCAUUUUUGGCUGGAGAAAGAAGUUUAUAAACCAUAUUUAUGUACAUUGUCUUUGAAUUUUUAUUCUGUGUACCAAACAUUUAUUGAGUUGCAGUGUGUUGGUGUCGGAUCCCGCACCAGAAGUACGCGACCAACCAAAGAUUGCCACGUAGUCAAGCGGGUGGCCCAUAAAGAUGAAGCCCAUUGGGCCCAUGAACCGAGGGGACGGUCGAAGUGGUUGUCACCACUUCGAGAGUCCGAAGUGACUGCACUGAGAUGUGAGUUCGGUAUAUAAGACGCGGAUAGGUCGGUUCAAGGACACUUGGGCCAAAAAGGCGAGGCCCACAAAGAUCAGAGUCAACUCAAAUUCAAACGUUGAGAAUUAAAGUCGAAGAAUCAAAACGGACACAUUUAAGAGGGAAUAAUUGUACUUAAUUAUUCAUUUUAAUGUUAAAUUCUCUAUGUAUAAAUAUAGAGGCCAAUGGCCAUGUAAAGGGGAUCUUCCUCUCGAGAGAGAAAUAAUAUAGCAAUUCUAGUAUCAAAUUUACAAGUUCUUACGUAUUCAUUUUUGUCCCUCAAGAAUAAUCUUUCCCACUUAACAAAAUACUUGAGUGUGUAAAUCCGACAUCCACAUUUUGGCGCCGUCUGUGGGGACAUCAGGAUUCUUGAGUGGUCAGAUUUCUUCUUUUCUACAUUUCCGAGAUAAGCGACAAUGUCCGGAGGAGACGCCGUUGAAACAUCAUUGGCCGAAACCCUCAAAGCUAUGCAGCAAACCAUGUCGGACAUAUCACAAAAGUUCUCAGAUGUGGAGAAGGCCGUCGAUACGUUGCAAACAUCCCAGGUAUCUCUUAGCCAAAACGUCAAUAAUAUACAAACUCGUGUUCGCUCUUUAAGUGCAGGAAACCCGGUGGGGACCCGAAGAGGGAUAUUCAACUCGCCAAGUUCCGCUGCACGAAAUGAAACCAGCGGACAAACAACCCCCGGUGCUACUAAUAAUGUAGCUCAGACGUUGGAGGAAGAGACGCAGCUCGGAGAUGAAGAACAACUUGCAGCUCAGUAUGAGCAGGAGAACCUCGACCAGUUCGAGACCAUGAGGAAGGUUAGCCAGGAAUUAAAAGAAAUGAAAUCAAAAUUUCAUCAGGCUACAAGUUCGGAGCCAGACAUCAAUCGAGUCAUUGAAGAAGCAAGGCGAACCCCUUUUAUCCCGCGAAUUGCAAGUUUGAGGAUCAAAGAUUCCCGGAAGCUCAAGUUGGACCCUUACAGCGGAUUGGAGGAUCCAAAAAGCUAUCUUGCAGCCUUUCUGAUCGCUGCAGGAAGAGUCGAGUUGGAUGAAGCUGAUGAGGACGCAGGCUAUUGCAAGCUGUUUUCGGAGAAUCUGUGUGGCCAAGCUCUAAUGUGGUUCACCCAAUUAGAGCCGGGUUCGAUCAGCAAUUUCGACGAACUGUCAGCCGUGUUCUUAAAGCAAUACUCUAUCCUUAUGGAUAAAAGCGUUUCGGAUGCUGAUCUUUGGAACUUAACGCAAGGAUCUAAUGAGUCACUUCGAGUUUUCAUCACCAAAUUCAAAGGGGUGCUAUCAAAACUCCCAAGAAUCUCACAGCAAUCAGCUUUAUCUGCCCUACGAAAAGGAUUGCGACAUGAUUCAAGGUUUAAAGAAGACUUAAUACUUCAUAAACCAGAUACAAUUCAGGAUGCACUCUUCCGUGCGAACAAUUGGAUGGAGGUAGAAGACGAAAAAGAAAGUUUUGCCAAACGGAAUAAACAAGAAAAGCCGGCAGUCACCGUCCCCACCAAGAAGUUCGAGCCUAGAGAGAGCAAAGGACCAAGGAAGUUUGGGUCGCAACCCUUCAACAAUUCUGUCGGGAAGCAAUUCCAAGGGAAAGGAAGAUCAAACACUUGGGUCCGUGAUGAAAGUCUAUAUUGCGACAUUCAUAAAGUAACCGGACAUUUAACCAAGGAUUGCAGCGUUCUUAAAAAGCACCUCGCAGAGCUUUGGGCUAGUGGUGAUCUUUCCAAAUUCGAUAUAAAAGAUUUUGUGAAGGAAUACCACGAAGCAAAGGAAAACUCCAAAGAUCAAGACUCCAAAAGACCAAGGUUAUCCAACGAGGAAGAACCAAGAAGUUCGAAGGGGAGGAUCAAUGUGAUUCUAGGAGGUUCCAGAUUUUGCGGAGAUUCAAUAAGUUCCAUCAAAAAACAUAGACGAAAUGUCUUACUCAAAGCAAGCUUGAGUGAAGAAAUUGAUUUUCAAGGUGCUACAAUAUCAUUUAACGAAGAAGAAACACGGCAUCUCGAAAGACCGCAUGACGAUGCUUUAGUCAUUACUCUUGACGUCGCAAACUUCGAAGUAUCAAGGAUCCUUAUAGAUACAGGCAGUUCGGUCGACUUGAUCUUUUUAAGUACUCUAGAAAAAAUGGGAAUCAGCCGAGGAGACAUAGUAGGACCCCCAUCUCCGUUAGUUGCAUUCACAAGCGAGUCAGCCAUGUCUCUCGGAACAAUCAAGCUACCGGUCCUUGCCAAGAAGGUAUCAAAGAUCGUGGACUUCGUUGUCUUCGAUAAGCCCGCUGCUUACAACAUUAUCCUCGGGACUCCCUGGAUUUAUCGGAUGAAAGCAGUCCCCUCUACAUAUCAUCAAUGUGUCAAAUUUCCAACAUCAAAUGGGGUGGAAACAAUUCGGGGAGAUCAAGAAGCUUCACGGACUUGUUACUUAGCUAGCCACCGUAUGAAGAUUCAAUAGCAAUUAGCGAAGCCUGCAAAAGAAAGACUAAAAACAAAAUUUCCUAGUGGGCAGAAGAAAGAGGAUGUAGUAGUCGAAGUGGUACUGGAAGAAGAAAAGCCGGACCGGAAAAUUAGAAUUGGAGCAACUUUGACUGGCCUAAUAAAAGAAGCUUUGAUCGAACUCUUAAGGAAAAACAAAGCAUCAUUCGCAUGGUCGGCAGCGGACAUGCCUGGCAUAAAUCCGAGUAUAAUUUGUCAUGAACUAAACGUAGAUCCAAGCUUCAAACCGGUGAAACAAAAAAGAAGAAAGCUUGGAGUGGAGCGGGCAAAAAUAGUAAACGACGAAGUGGAUAAACUCUUGAAGAUAGGGUCCAUAAGAGAAGUGCAAUAUCCGGAGUGGGUAGCAAACACUGUCGUUGUCAAGAAAAAGAAUGGGAAAGAUAGGGUUUGCAUCGACUUUACAGACCUAAAUAAGGCAUGUCCCAAAGAUAGUUUCCCGCUCCCGCAUAUAGAUCGACUUGUAGAGUCCACCGCUGGAAAUGAGCUGUUAACGUUCAUGGAUGCCUUCUCGGGUUAUAAUCAGAUAAUGAUGAACCCCGACGAUCAAGAAAAGACGUCAUUUAUCACAGAUAGAGGUAUCUACUGUUACAAGGUAAUGCCUUUUGGUUUGAAAAAUGCAGGAGCGACUUACCAACGGUUGGUGAACAAAAUGUUUCAUAAUCACCUCGGGAAGACUAUGGAAGUCUACAUAGAUGAUAUGUUGGUUAAAUCGUUGAAGAAAGGAGAUCAUGUUAAGCAUUUGGAGGAAUGUUUUGAUAUUCUCAAUAAAUAUCAAAUGAAGCUGAACCCGGCGAAGUGCACAUUUGGAGUCCCAUCCGGGGAAUUUCUUGGCUACAUCGUAACAGAAAGAGGGAUUGAAGCCAAUCCAAAUCAAAUUAACGCCUUUCUAAACAUGCCAUCUCCGAAAAACUUCAAAGAAGUACAACGGUUGACUGGGCGGAUUGCGGCCUUGAAUCGUUUUAUCUCGAGGUCAACAGAUAAGUCGUUGCCUUUCUACCAAAUUCUAAAAGGGAACAAAGGAUUCCUUUGGGAUGAGAAGUGUGAAGAAGCUUUUGGGCAGCUUAAGACAUACUUAACCACUCCACCCAUACUGUCCAAACCGGAAGUGGAUGAAAAACUCUAUUUGUACGUUUCAGUUUCAAACCACGCGGUUAGUGGAGUCUUGGUUCGGGAAGACCGUGGGGAGCAGAAACCAAUUUACUACGUGAGCAAGUCAAUGACGGAUCCGGAAACCAGAUAUACAAUGAUGGAGAAACUUGCGCUCGCGGUGGUAACUUCGGCCCGGAAGCUGCGUCCAUAUUUUCAGUCCCAUCCGGUUGAGGUAUUAACUAACCAACCACUCAGAACAAUACUUCAUAGUCCAAGUCAAUCCGGACGUUUGGCGAAAUGGGCGGUGGAAUUAAGCGAGUACGACAUAGAGUUUAAAAGCCGGAUCAGUAUGAAGGCUCAGGUCUUAGCAGACUUCCUGACCGAACUACCAAUACCUGGAACGGUAGAUCAACCGGAGAACCAAACUUGGAAAUUACACGUAGAUGGGUCUUCAACAAAGCAAGGAUCCGGAGUGGGAAUCAGGUUGGAAUCUCCGACAUCAGAAAUUCUAGAACAAUCAUUCCGAUUGUUAUUCAAUGCCUCCAACAACGAGGCAGAAUACGAAGCCCUUAUUGCCGGACUUCGACUAGCACAAGGAGUUGGAGCUAAGGAAAUAUUGGCUUAUUGCGAUUCGCAAUUAGUAGUUAACCAAUUUAAUGGAGACUAUGAAGCCAAAGAUUCAAGAAUGGAAGCUUACCUCGAAGUGGUGAAGGAUCUAUCUAAAAAUUUCUCGAAAUUCGAGUUAAUCCGCAUACCUCGGGGAGAGAAUACAACUGCAGAUGCACUUGCCGCUUUGGCGUCAACAUCAGAUCCUGAGUUAAAGAGAGUUAUUCCAGUAGAGUGCAUCUCGGAGCGAAGCAUUCAAGACAGCAAGGAAACCCUCGUCGUUACAAGGUCUCGAGCAGCGGCACGCGACCGUGGCGAACCAGAGAUCGAACCGCCACCCAACAAACGCAGGAAGUCAAAAGGAUCAAAUACAUCUAACAAGGAAUCCGUUGUCUUAGCUAAAGAAGUGGUUCCGGAAACGAUGUCAGAAACCGAGCCAUUAAUCGAGGAAGAUAUUCUUGAACCAAACGAGCAUCCCGAACCAGAGCCACGAAUAUUUCACAAAAUUGACCAAAUUCCGGCUAAAGACUGGGGGGCUGACUGGAGGGAGCCAAUAAAGCACUACAUCACGACAGGCGAGCUCCCAAAGAAUAAAUGGCAGGCCAGGAAAAUGAAAGUCGUUAGCGCGAAAUUUUGCCUAUCGAAAGAUGCAUUAUAUAGGCGAGGUGUUAGUGACCCUUACCUGUUAUGCAUUUUUGGGCCCGAAGUCGAAAUCGUCAUGAGCGAAGUGCAUGAGGGAUUAUGUGGAAGUCAUUCAUCAGGAAGAGCUAUGGCUUUUAAAGUUAAAAGAAUGGGGUACUUUUGGCCCACUAUGAUCACAGAUUGUGUUAAGUUCGCCCAAAGAUGCAAGCGUUGCCAACUCCAUGCACCAUUGAUCCAUCAACCGUCGGAAUUAUUCUCCUCCAUUUCCGCCCCAUACCCGUUUAUGAGGUGGUCAAUGGACAUCAUUGGACCAUUGCACAAAUCAACUCGAGGUGUACAGUACCUUUUGGUCCUCACGGACUACUUUUCGAAAUGGAUUGAAGCUGAGGCGUAUGUUGGUAUCAAAGAUUCGGCGGUGAAGACUUUUAUUUGGAAAAACAUUAUAUGUCGACAUGGAGUUCCGUACGAAAUAGUCACUGAUAAUGGACCGCAAUUCAUUUCACACGAGUUUGAUGCCUUUUGUGCGGACUGGGGAAUUAAAGUGAGUUAUUCUACUCCAAGAUAUCCGCAAGGAAACGGUCAAGCCGAAGCCGCGAACAAGACGAUAUUAAGCAAUCUCAAGAAACGCUUAAGUCAUCUAAAGGGAGGAUGGUAUGAAGAACUCCAACCCGUCCUGUGGGCUUAUCGUACAACCCCUAGGCGACCUACAGGAGAAACUCCAUUCUCUUUGGUUUAUGGCAUGGAAGCGGUAGUACCAGCUGAACUCAACGUGCCCGGACUUCGUCGAACAGAAGCACCGUUAAAUGAGGAAGAAAAUUCAGCAAUGCUUAACGAUUCACUGGAUACCAUAAAUGAAAGGCGUGAUCAAGCUCUAAUUCGGAUCCAGAAUUACCAACAGGCAGCAGCCCGGUAUUACAAUUCAAAGGUUAAAAGUAGGCCAUUCUUCGUGGGAGAUUUCGUAUUAAGGCGUGUCUUUGACAACAAAAAAGAAGAAGGUGCCGGAAAACUCGGUAUUAAUUGGGAAGGACCUUACAUUAUUACCGAAGUGGUUCGAAACGGUGUUUAUAGGUUGAAAGACCUAGAAGACAAUCCAGUGAAGCGACCUUGGAAUGUGAUCAACUUAAAGAAGUUUUAUGUUUAAAGCUAUAUGCAUUAUUUUUGUACAUGAACUACGAUUUGGCUUGAUCCCGAAAAGGGUACGUAGGCAGCUCGAAAACGGGUUCAGCUAUAAAUAAAAUUUUUGUUUUAUUUCUUUAUUAAAGGAAGAAGGUUCGGCUAUGCGAACAUACAAGAGAUUGGAAAUAAAGCAUUUAUUCAAAAAAAAGAGGGCGAAGUGUCCCUCAUCGUACACUUUGAACUACGAAAUCCUCGUUGACGAGCAGAACACUUCAAUUCCUUGACCAGCAAGAUCGAGGAUUGGCAUCAUGCAGUCCGGAAUUCGAGCAAAGUCAGAGAUUCCAAGCUCAAUCCACUCUCCGGGGUGAGAUUCAAGGAUGUGAAGAUUCCUUGACACCAUAGUAAGCCUGCGUUGCAUCCGGCUAAUCCUCUUCCGGAGCCUCCUCUUUUCCGACGUAAGCUUCCGGUGUUGAAGUUCAAGUGCCUCUAUGAAUGCCGUCGCUGUUCCUUGAUCUCUGAUAGGUAGAUCCCUGAUCAAAGCACAUGGGGCUCGGAUUUGAGAUCUCAAGAAGCCGCGAAGUGGAGGAGGCUGCCUGUUGGGCUCACUUGGAACAUCUUCAUUCAUCAUUCCGAUUCUGGAGAAGUCGGGCAUAGAUUCUGAACAGCGUAGAUUGAACUCCAUGCCUGCUAAAAUAAAAAAUGGUGAGGAGUAAAGAGGAGUUGAACCUAUAAUUUAUAAGAACCCCAUAUCCCUAGCAAGCUACGGAUUCUAUCCAAGGAAUGGAAUGAUUCGCGGAGAGAUUUAUGCCCUCGAACGGAUCCUGCAUUAAAAGACGUAUCUCGAAGAAUAUUUGGAAAAGAAGGAAAAUAGCAAAUAUUUCCAUAAAUAAAAAGGGCCGAAGCCCAUUACGAGUUUCUGUUUAAAAAAAAAAAAAGAGAGAAGUGAAGAAAUUGGAGAACAUUUAUGGGAGAGGCUCAGGAACAGGCUCCUUCAUCACCGGUUUAGUCCUCGAAGUGGAUGCCUUGUUUUUGGCAUCCACUUCGGAACGAUCCCGAAGGCGUUUCCGGCAGUCGCUGGCCUCCUCCUCCAAGUCCUCUCCCUCUUCAUCGUCGGAUGGAACGGCGAAGACGGGGGCGUUCACAGGACCCGGAACCCCCUUAGCACGGAGGUACAUCCGAAGCAUCCUCGGAAUCUCAGCAACGGAAUCGAAAUUCCGCCAUUCCCACUGAAAGGGAUCACUUUCCAAAGCCCUGAUCUUCCUCUCCACCCGAGAAAUACGAGCCUCGAGUGUCUGCCUUUUGAGGCCUAGCCGUUGCCUCUCUUCACACAAGCGACGGUGCUUGUCGGCGACCUAGCAUAAAGAUGAAUGAAUAAGAUGAAACAAAGAGUUUUUUAAUCAAAAAAAAACUUCGAAUACUUACCUUGUCAAUGAAGUCGCAAGCCUCUUUUUUCUCCUUUGAAGGAAAGUGAAAGACGGCAUGAGGGAAGAGAACGCCGGCCGGCUCAAAGCCGUCACCGGACAGGAAGAGUGGGCUGCCGGGAUCAACGGGGGCUACUGUUUCGCUUUCCAUUCUCAAAAUAUUUCUCAAGUGGGACUCUAGAGUCAUGUUUAAUAAAGCCUAGAGGUAGGUAAGCCUUUAUUUAUAAUGAUUUAGGGUUUUGCUUUGGAACCAUAAAUUCAUUAAUGGUAGCGUUUCCGAGUGGCUUAAACCAUUUUUGGAAAAUCAAGAAAAGGCAAUUAUUACAUUAAAAGACGAGCCGUUCUCUUUAAGAAGGGAAAAAAGCAACCGUCGCAUCAACUGCAAAAGUUUCUAAGGCCCUAGCCUGACAAGUUUACCGAGUUGACUAAACCCGAAGUGGGGAACUCGCUUUAAGCCGAGCUCAGUUCUCGCAUUCUAAAGAGAAAGGUCUGAUCAACCUAAAAAUCUCGAAAGCAUUGCCACAAGGCCACAAAAGGUUAAAACGGACUUUGCAAACCCGUAUAUAAUUUUAACCAAACCCCCUUGGGUCGCAACCUAGAAAGGUUUAAAAGCCUCCUCAGGCAAAUAUCUUGUUCAAAAGAAAAUAAAGCCUCCUUAGGCAAAAAUAAAUUCGAGAUUAAGUCUUAAAAUAAAAAGGGACAAUCCCCAAUUUAAAGUGGACACAGCCACUACGGAGCGAUCUCCACCUCGGGCUCCUGCUCAGCAACCAGAGUUUCAUUCACCUCCUUGACUGGUGCAUGAUCAGAUGAAGCUCCCUGACCACCCUCCGCGGGACAACCAACCUCCGGAGUAACCUCCGGUACCACAGGAGCUACAGGCGGAACAAUGCCCUCCGUCUCACUUGAACCUGGAAAUAAUAAUUCCAGUCAAUCAAAGGUACAAGGUAAGAAAAGGUAAGCCUUAGGAGCCAAGCGUUACCUGCCCAGUCUAAACCCGAUUCACUUAUUGGAGGUGAUUCAGUAAAGAAUGCCUCGAAGUCAAGCGGGUUGAAGGCCGAAGUGGGAAGAGCUGCCAAGCGACUCCGUUUUUCAGAAAGGUUAGUCGACAGCUCGGUCCUUUCUUGCUCUUCGGAGAAAUCUGCUUCAUGGAUUUGAUCCAGCAGAAUCAGGUUACUUUCGUACUCCUUGAUGUCUGACUCCAAGUCCGACCUAGCCUUCUCAGUCUGCAUGAAUCGGAUGGCCCCUUGGAUCAACUCCAUCCCGCGUCCCUUGACCUCUUUUCUGGCUUUUGAUGCCGACCUCGCCAAUUCGGAGUCACGCAAUUUGGCAAUUGCCUUGUACUUCGCGUUGAGCUCGAUGAGUUGGUUGUUCAGGGAAUCAGCGUUUGAUUCGGACUCUUGAAGCCUACCUUGAAUACCAGAAAACUCUUCCUGGAGUUUGAAGUUCUGGUCGUACUGACCCUGCAGCUCCCCCUUUAUCUGCGCAAGCUCGGAUGUUAAAUUGUCGACUUUGUCCUCCAGUUCAUGCUUGGAGCCGGCAGAAGAACUGAGUUCGGCCUCAAGGGCGGAGAGUUUCUUUGUCAACAUGUCCAUCUCCUUCUCCCGGCCAAUGACCAACCCUUCGUAAUGUUCGAUCAUGUCGUUAAAUUCGCUUUGAGCCUGGCGUUAUGUAUGAACCCGGGAUGACGAGUCAGUUCGCAGAAUGGCAAUACAAUAAAAAAUUUACAUAAACGAAAGCGGGACUAACCCGAGAUGAGUGAUGCGCGUGAAGCAGAUAACGUUCACGAAUCGCAGGGCGCCAUUUGUUGAAAUCUGGCAAGAUCGAACCCGAACGGGUCUUGAAGCAUCGGAAGACGCUGCCUUCUGUCUCCAUAGCUGCGAAGAAGGAAGAAUUGUAAAAAUUGGAAUUUUAAAGACAAAAGUUUAAGUGUGUAAAUCACCGAACCUGAAAGCGAUUUGACUUGAGGUACAAGAGCAGGCUUCAGCCUCGAGGGAGCAUCUCGAGAUUCAGAAUCUCCUUUUUUCGGAGACGCGCUCCGGGCGGUCUUUCCACUAUCAGGCUGGGAAGAGGAAGACAUGUCAACCGGUCGUGGAGGACCCAUUGGUUCAGAAGGAGGGGAUGACCGAGGUGAGCGGUCAGUCCGGGCCCUUGACUUUUCCCUCUGCGGGGAAAGAUCACUGCGAGAGGACUUGUCUCUCUUUCGGCGAACCAAGUUCUUAAUUGGUUCGUUACUGAAAUCAUCUCGGGAAGGACGAGGUGAAUCACGGCGAGGAGAUCGAUCCCUCCGAGGAGAACGUGAGUCGCGACGAUCGCGACGAGGAGUUAAUCUGAAGGAAGCGACAGAUCGGGCUCCCUCAGUACUGCCAUCAUCGACCAGCAAGGUCCUACUAUAGUCCUUCUUGUCUAUGGAAGUCGUGAGGAACUUUUUCUUCUCCUCGCAAGCCUCAGCCAUCGGCUUGGAAAGCAACUUACGUUUGGCCGCAAGGGCCCGAGAUGACAUUCCCUGAGUUGAGGGAGGGGGAGGAAUUUGGUGAAGAUGACCAGGCGGACUCAUCCUGAGUCUGUGGUUAGCCUCUAUGAAUCGUUCGAGAGUGAAGGAAUUCCAAAGGGUUUCCCCUUCAAGAAUUAUUUUGAAGAAUUCGAUGAACUCUUCAGAUGGGAGAUUGGAAGCGAUGAAAGCUGCGAAAUGAAACAACGGUGUUAGUUAAUAAAAAUAAAGAAACAACCGGGAAAGAUACGGGCAACCUAAUCUCUACCAGGUUUCGCCGACCACUUCGAAGGGAGGAAAUCUGCAAGAUUUCCAAUCGAAGCGGGAGUUUUCUUAAUCAAGAACCAAGGAUGAUGCCAAUUUUCAUCCUUGUUUGGAAGAUGCGAAAUGAUGUUCCUGUUGGCGUUAGGAUAUGCUGAGAAAUACCCCGUUUUCUUCGAUGAGCUUCUCACGCUUAGAAGCUCAUUUAGUUCGGCGACUCCAAUAACGUAACCGGCCUCCGCCGCGAUUGUUAUAAUGCCGAGAAUAGUACGAAGAAGAUUGGGGGUUAAUUGAGGAAGAGCGAUUUCAAGAGCCGCUAGGUAUAAAAUUAGGGCUUCGGGAAGAGGAAAGGUCAGCCCGCAACCUUUGAAAUAAAUCUCAUACACACAGAAGUAACCAUCGCGAUGGUUCUCUGGAGAUUCUGUGGGGGAAGCUAUUUGAGCUUCCGCCAUAAUUUCCGGUGGAAUCCGGCAAAGCUCUCUCAAUCGCUCGAGGGAUUGAAGAGUACAAGUGGACCUAAAGUGCGGACCGACAAUAUCACCAGGGCGGGUGCAUUCGUCGUUACUAGAACGCCUCUCGUCGAAAGACGGAGACUCGGGUCUAUCGGAAUCGGAAGUCAUUGGGAAAAAAGAGAAAUUCGAAAUCCGGCGAAGAAGGGUUUUGGUGAAGGAACGAAGAGAGAGGUUUUGAUUAAAGUACAAAAGUAAAAGAAGAGAGUAAUGGUGAAAAGAAGUUACCUCAAGCUAAUGAUGAAACCGCCUUGGAAGUCGUGUGGGAAGUGGGAAGGUUUUUCCCGUUUUAAUAGUAAUUAAUCAAUAUACGGUCAUAAUGAUGACAGAUGUCACUCGGUUAAGAAUGGCUAGUGCCGAAAUUAAAGGAGUGAUGAGAUUUUCGGCGGGAAAUCAUAAAGAUUCUCGAGCGCAAUCUUUGGCCACUUGAGCAUUUAAAGUCCUCCGAAUUGAAAAAACACUUCGAAGAACUUGGGGGGCUAAUUGUUGGUGUCGGAUCCCGCACCAGAAGUACGCGACCAACCAAAGAUUGCCACGUAGUCAAGCGGGUGGCCCAUAAAGAUAAAGCCCAUUGGGCCCAUGAACCGAGGGGACGGUCGAAGUGGUUGUCACCACUUCGAGAGUCCGAAGUGACUGCACUGAGAUGUGAGUUCGGUAUAUAAGACGCGGAUAGGUCGGUUCAAGGACACUUGGGCCAAAAAGGCGAGGCCCACAAAGAUCAGAGUCAACUCAAAUUCAAACGUUGAGAAUUAAAGUCGAAGAAUCAAAACGGACACAUUUAAGAGGGAAUAAUUGUACUUAAUUAUUCAUUUUAAUGUUAAAUUCUCUAUGUAUAAAUAUAGAGGCCAAUGGCCAUGUAAAGGGGAUCUUCCUCUCGAGAGAGAAAUAAUAUAGCAAUUCUAGUAUCAAAUUUACAAGUUCUUACGUAUUCAUUUUUGUCCCUCAAGAAUAAUCUUUCCCACUUAACAAAAUACUUGAGUGUGUAAAUCCGACAUCCACACAGUGUACGUUUGUUAGACUGUGUACGUUAGAAACUUUGAUGGUAGAUUUAAAAUAGUUUUACACAACAUAUUUUGCAGGAAUUGAAAGUAUGGAUCCGGUGGAAGAUGUUAAUGCUGAAUAGUGACCGUCUAGGUUAUUUGCUUUGGACCAUUACCCUAAAAUAACGAAGAGAAAUGUUUAUUCUAGACCGGAGUACCUUGCUACAAUAGUGAAUGCUUUGAAAGGAAUCGAGGAGAUUAAAUUUCUUUUAAACUCUCCUUUUGGGAAGAUUUUUGAAAUCUCCCCUAACAAGUUUGUGUGUCAAUUGGUGACAAAUAAAUGACACAAGAUGUAUGUAGAUGUUUUUUGCGGGAGGUGAGAAAUACCCCAAAAGAAAAAAGGUAAAACAAGUAACUAAACGGAAAGAGGGAUGCAAAAAAGUUUGGACAACGCUAUUUGGGAAAGAUAUAUGCGAAACCAACAGUACCUGACUUGGAGAAUAAAUUAGAUAUAGCUCACUCCACUAUGUGUUAGUUGUUGCACAUUUAUUAAUGGGUGUAAACAAUUUUUCCUUUUAUUGGUAUGCACAUGAAAUGUGACUUUUCUAAGGUUUAAGAGAGUUCGAGGAUGUAACAUUGAAUUGUUAUAUUAAAAAACUAAUAUGUUGAUAUCCAUUUUGUUAUAUUUUUUAUGAUGUAGUUGAUGUAUGUAUGAAUGAAUGAAGCUAUUUUGAAGAUUAACGUACGCAAUUUUCAAACAGAUGAUAGUUUGUGACGGUAAACGUACACGGUCAUAAGACAAGAUGAACAUCGUAAUAAGGAGAUAUACGUAAUGUAUUUUCAAAAUUGGCGACGUAUCCAAAACUAAAAACGUACAUCAUCAUACAAUCGAAAACGUACAUCAUUCUACAAACGAAAACGUACUCGAGUAGAAGAUGACACAAAAACAUACACUACAUUAAUCUGAGAGUGUUAUGAAAUCUUAUAUGUAUAUUAGAUUUUUGUAUGUCUUCUUGUUAUGUUCUUCGCUUUUACAUCUUAUACAACUAUACGACAGAGAUGUUUUUCAAAAUAAAAUUGCAUCUACUACCCCGUGUUCACAUUAAAUUCAUAAUAUGGUGUACAUAUAUUAUGUACACGUACACUAGUCCAGUAAGACAUGAAAAUGCUCCUUAAUGACCCUCUAAUCCCUACCUCAAAACCUUUGACUUCAAAUACACUAUGCUCUUUUGUAUUCGUGUACGUCAAACAUUCACUUCCACGUACUUUUUCUUGUACACAGUUAAUGAUGUACGUACAUUUGUCAAAUGGUUAAAUUGUCACCAUUCUCCUCAAAAUCAUCAAAGUUUAUUAUAAUUAUUUUUCUGUUUUUUUUUUCACUUUCUUACCAUUCUAUAAAAUAUUUCAGAAAAUCAUGUUUUUCAGCUAUUUUUUUAAAAACAUUUUUACUUAUAAAUGUUUUUAACAAUUUUUUAUAUAGAUUUAUGACGAUCACUUUAAUUUUUUAGUUACAAGAGUUGUGUUUUUUUUUAAUAACUCUUUCUUUUUUGACAAUUCCAAAAAGUGUUUUAAAUUUUUUUAGUCGUAAUUAUUCACUCCGGAAAUGGUUUUUCUUAUUAUGUUAACUCCAUAUUCAAUUUGUACAUCUUAUUAUAUAAAGUAUGGUUUUCAAAGUUAAUAACUCAUAGGAUCGUGACACGUGGAAAAUCUAUCGAUCUUAGAUUUUGACACGUGUAAAACAAAAAUUUCCUUUUAUUUAAUUUUAAAAAAGUAAAGAAGAUAAUUAUAAGGAAACUAUAUGUAUCUUAUUAAAUAAAAAUAAAAAUUAUAAAAUUAUUUACCAUUUCUAAUUUAAAGCUACUAAUUCUAAAAGAAAAGUAUUAAUUUUUCCUUAAAAACUAAAAAAAGAUUAAAGAAAUUAUAAAAUUAACUAAUAAAAUACGAUAAUUAAGAAGACUCUACAAUCAAAAAGAUUUAAGAAAUUAUAUAAUUAAUUAAUAAAAUAAAAUAAUUAAGGAAAUUGUACAAUCAAUUAAUCUUUUAAAAGAAGAUUUUAAAUACUCACCUCUAUAUAAACAAAAACAUUUCUUCAGAAGCACCACCAUUGCUUCAACUUCGAUAUAUUGUCAAAGCUUUUUUAAGGGUAAAAAUCGUUUAUUUUUCUUAACCAUGCAAAAAGUAAAAUAAGAAUUUUUACAUGUGCUAUUAGUCAAUAAAAUUUGGCAUGUAUUAGUCAAUAAAAUUUGAAAAAGUAAUGAGUUUAUAAGAAUUAAUUUUUGAUUACUUGAUGAUAAUAUUAUUAUAGUUAUACUUAUUUUUUUAUUCUAAAAAAUUGAAAUAAGUGAAAACACAAAAAUUGGAAAAAUGGCAUAUAGGAAGUAAUUUUUGAUUAUUUGAUGAGAAUGUCAGCAUAUUUUUUAUUUAUUAAUUUUAAGUCAAUUAAUAUUAGUUUGACAUGAGGUAAAUUUAACUUAUAAGAUUAAUACAUAUAUAUAUGUAACAUUAUUUUAAAGUACAAAAAGAUUUGUGGAUGUUUACUUUUUUUUAAAAAAAAUUAUGUUUGAUAUUUGUUAAUUAUUUUAAUAUUUACUAAGAUAUAGAUUUGAUAUGAUAUAUAUAUUAUUUGGAUAUAAACUUUUUGUCAUUUAUCUACUAAGAUGAAGUGUGUGUAGAAUUAAAAUCUAUCGUCUUCUUAUACAAAGCUUGGUUUCUAAAAUUAGUAACUCAUGGGAUCGUGACACGUGUCAAGUCUAUCGAUCAGAUUUUGACAUAUGAUUGGGUGUAAAUAUACAUUUUUUUUUUUUGGUGGGCUGUAAAUAUACAUUUUUAGUAAUAACAUAGAUCUGAUACGUUUGUAAAUAGAUGUGAUAAGAUGAUUAUUUAACCAAUAGUUUGCGUGUAAAAUAUUUUUUGAAGAAGUUGUAGAACUAUAUUUUAAGGAGAUUGCGAGACUACAUUUUUGAAAUUUGGAAAUAAAUAUAAUGAUGAAUAUUUGACAAAAAGUUUUGGUGAUUGAUAAUUUAAAUUAUUGUAAUAAGUGUUGCAAUAAAUAUAAAAUAUAGAAAUGUAAAUCACUAUAUAAAAAAAACAAAUAUAUAAUUAACUUAUUUGAUGACUAAAAAUAUCUAUUUACUUUCUAAAGAUAGUUUCUACUUAUAAAUUUUUUUGAAUAUAUAUUGUUUUGUUAAAUUUAAUUUUAUAUAAAAAAAUUAAAACCCGCACAUCGUGCGGGUCCUUAUCUAGUUAUUAUAUAUAUCAUCUUAUCAUAGAUAAAUUGUAACAUAUUAAUAUUACUAUGUACGUACACAAAAUUAAAUUUUAUUGUGUACACAUUUUAACUAUGUACAUCUAAUUCCACACUGAGGCCUUUAUAUAUUGAAGAAUGUCUGUCCGAUACAAUCAUUAAAUCUUCACUGUCUGGAACAAUGUCAGCUAAUUUAUCAAAGAACCACACCCAUGAAGCGUCAGUCUCACCAUCCACAACACCAAACGCUAUUGGAAAUAUUUGGAAGUUCCCGUCUUGGGCACAUGCAAUGAGGAGACAUCCCUUGUAACGUCCUACUAGCUGCGUUCCAUCUACGACAAUUACCUUCCUCAUAUACUUCAGACCUUUUAUAGAAGCCCCGAGAGAUACAAAAACAUACUUAAAGCGCUGCGUACCAUCAGCUUCAGGUGUAGAGUGUAGGUGAGUUAUCGUACCCGGAUUAGCUAAUUUAAGAAGAUACAAAUAGGUAGGCAAAAACCUGUAACUUUUUAUAUCAUCCCCCCUUACAUUUUCCACUGCAACCUCUUUAGCUCUCCAAGCGGUAGAAUAUGAAAUCCGAACAUUGAGAUCAUUUAGGAGCAACUGUGGUAAAUCGACAGCUCUCGGACCCCCUUGCGUAGAACUGUAUCUGCUCUUCACUACCUCUCCGAGAAGCUUAUAACUAGCAUGUUUAUUAUAAUUCUUACGAGUGUCGAUGUCACACGUAUGGGUGGUAUCAUACAAUGUGAUUUUGAAACAUUCUGAAUUCUUGACAACUUGAGCUGUCAAAUGCCAUGGACAAGUAUCAUCAACGCAGACCAUCUCCAAUCUUGUAGGACAUGACCUACGUUGCUUGUAGCAAAAGCAUUGUUUGAUUGCGAGAUAAGACAUUGUUUGUUGUAUGACUUUUCUGUUCUUAAAAACACUCCCGACAUACAAAGUCUCACCUGUCGUACUCAGUUCAACUUGUGUCUCAUCAUCUCGUAAAUUGGCUAAAUCAUCGAAUACCGGAGCAGCAUCAUUAUCGAGAAUCUCCAACUCGCCACCAUGUAAUGUAGAAAAGUCAUUAUACACUUCGUAAGCCUCAGCUGCGGUAACUAACCGAUUAUCAUUCAGUGUCCCACUUGCGGAAGCUCCAAUACCAAGGUCGAUAGUGACUUCGUAUAUACCAUUAAUAUUGGUAUCCGUGUUACCUUCGCAGCCUGUAUCUUGUACACACUCUGUAGUGUACGUACAUUGGUACACAUUCCCGCACAAAUCAAUUAAGAACGAAAUAUAUUGCGUAACCGGAACAGUGUACGUAACUGAACCGCUUAACUGAACCGUACAGUGAACCGCUUAACUGAACCGUACGCUUAACUGAACCGUACAGUGAACAGUACAUCGGUAGGGGUAAAAUGGUCAGAUUUUGGCCAAAAUGUCAAAACUUGAAAGCCCAUUCUCACUUUGCCAAAACUUGAAAUUAAAACUUGGUCAACUGCCAUGCAAUUUACCCGAGAGAAAACCGGUCCACAAACUUCAUGAUCCUAUUUAUAGUAAACUAUAAAUAAAAUACUACUACAAAAACAAAAUCAAAGUUUCGAACCCUAACUUGUAAAACACCUAAUUCGAGAGAGAUAAAGACCAUGGAAAGUAACCUGCGCAGGGACGACGAGGGCGAUGAAAUCCACGGU
RNAcentral lists this long non-coding RNA (17374 nucleotides) under Arabidopsis lyrata. Its description in RNAcentral is "long non-coding RNA (ALYR_LNC001177)". The record is from RNAcentral. Lineage: Eukaryota; Viridiplantae; Streptophyta; Magnoliopsida; Brassicales; Brassicaceae.